This is a long non-coding RNA of Piliocolobus tephrosceles (Ugandan red Colobus), 1571 nucleotides long. The record is from Ensembl. NCBI's taxonomy places the organism in Eukaryota, Metazoa, Chordata, Mammalia, Primates, Cercopithecidae.
CACACACGUCCCAGUGUGCCCGCGUGUCGGAGUCUGUGCACGCGCACAUGUGUGUCGGGCUCUGUUGUGCCUGCACAUGCGUGUCGGGCUCCAUGCACACAUGCGUGUCGGCGUCUGUGCGUGCGCACACGCCUGUCAGGGUCUGUGUGCCCACACAGGCACCUCAACGGCUGAACACACUAUGUAUGGGGGGGGUCUGUCGUCGCUCACAUACGUGUAGGGGUCUGUGCGCACAUGCGCGUCCGGCUCUGCUGCCGCUUGCGCGCUCCGGCAGCUCAAAGCGCGAGGCCCCGCCUGGGUCCGGGGUGCGCAUGCGCGCUGGCCUCCCUGGGCGGUGGGACCCAGCGUAUGACGUACUUGCGUGGGAGUACGAGGCUGACGCGCGGCCUUGUCCCCGUAACUGUGACACAGGUGCACGCGAGCGUCAUUGGGGGCGAUGGGGGGCGUGCUGGGUGCGUGUUUGCACCAGUGACGCAGCCGCUGCAUCGCCGCCAGUCCGCACAGGCCAGCAUCCUUCAGGAAAAGCAUCCCCGAGGAGGAAGACGAAUCGUUAAACAUCUUAAAGGGUCAGGCCAGCAUCCUUCAGGAAAAGCACCCCCGAGGAGGAAGAGCAAUCGUUAAACAUCUUAAAGGGUCAGGUGAGUAUCCCUUUUUUUUUUUUUAAAUUAAAUGAUAUGUGUUUGUAAGACUUAAGACCAAACAUUAAAUGUAGAUGACCAAGAUUUGAGUCCUGUUUCUGCCUGUUAGCUUUUUGAGCCUUCUGAAGAUAGGCUUGUGAGGAGGGUGAAAUGCAUUAACAUGUGUAAAACCAUAGACCCGCACCCCGGAGUGUGAGUGCGCAGUGAGUGCUGCUGUUAUGUGCUGAGUCUGGAUGUCGGUACAUCAGGAGCAAUGUAUAUAUGAAGGUAACUGAGAUGGGUGUUUGCAAGUUCACAAAAUGAACCACAGCCUCAAAUGGUCUAGAACUGUUAUCCUUAACCUGAGGGCCUUCCAUAAAGUGAACCAAUUUUGUAAAAUACAAAAAUUAGCUGGAUCUGGUGGUGCAUGCCUGUAAUCCCAGCUCCUCAGGAGGCUGAGGCAGGAGAAUCACUUCAACCUGGGAGGCUGUGAACCUGUGAUGAGCUGAGAUCACGCCACCACACUCCAGCCUGGGUGACAGAGCAAGACAUUGUCUCCAAAAAAAGCUUUGUGACUAAAUGUGUGGGGAGAAGCAAGCUGUUGUAGUGGACAUCAGUUGGUGUCCUGCAGUUCAAUUCUGACACCGUCUACCUGGAUAUGGCAUCAGAUUCCACAGGUUGUGAGCAAGACUGUCCCACUCUGCCCCACUAGCCACAAGACCAGGCCUCUGGGACAUCUUGCUAACCCUCCGCAGGUUGGGGUUCUUUUUUUUUUUUUUUUUUUUUUUGUUGUUGUUGUUGUUGUUGUUGAGACGGAGUCUCGCUCUGUCGCCCAGGCUGGAGUGCAGUGGCCGGAUCUCAGCUCACUGCAAGCUCCGCCUCCCGGGUUCACGCCAUUCUCCUGCCUCAGCCUCCCAAGUAGCUGGGACUACAGGCGCCCGCCACCUCGCCCGG